CACCUCCGAAUACAUGCAGUAAAGAGCAAAGCAGUAGCAGCAUCUCUGUAUCUCCCUCCCUCUGACACCUCUCUGACUGCAGCCCACGGGUUCCUGCACAAUCCCGAGGAGUCACCCAAAGAGCUUCUGAUCAGGGACAAAUGACAGCAUGUCCCUGGGUGAUUAAUCACUGAGAGCAGAGCCGAGGGGAGAGGGAUGAGGGGAGAGCAGGAGAAACUGCUGCGUGUGGAGCUUUACAUGAAAGAUCAGAAUCAAAGCUGAGCUGGAGGUGUCUGGAGAAGAUCUAAGUAUCCUGGGGUUUUACUGAGGAGAAAAGAGAGAGAGCGCAAGAGAUCCAGACUGCAAAGGAUCCCCAGGCAGCUGCAGUGCAAACAAUGCUGUAAAAUUGCAAGAAGGAGACGCAAGAGGGAAGGACUUUACAAGCUGUUAAAAUGCCAGAGCAAAGUAACGACUACCGAGUAGUUGUUUUUGGAGCAGGAGGUGUUGGAAAAAGUUCUCUAGUUCUGCGCUUUGUAAAAGGAACGUUUCGGGAUACGUACAUUCCCACCAUUGAGGAUACAUAUCGCCAGGUUAUCAGUUGUGACAAAAGUGUCUGCACUUUGCAGAUCACAGACACAACGGGAAGCCACCAGUUUCCAGCAAUGCAAAGGCUCUCAAUUUCUAAGGGUCAUGCUUUUAUUCUGGUGUUCUCUGUUACAAGCAAGCAAUCCAUAGAGGAACUCAAGCCAAUCUACCAGCAAAUAUUGCAGAUCAAGGGUAGCAUAGAGAACAUUCCUGUAAUGCUGGUUGGAAAUAAAUGUGAUGAAACACAAAGGGAAGUGGACACAAAGGAAGUUGAGGCUCUGGCCAAAGAAUGGAAAUGUGCCUUUAUGGAAACAUCAGCCAAGAUGAACUACAAUGUGAAGGAACUUUUCCAAGAGCUAUUAAACUUGGAGAAACGGAGAAAUAUGAGCUUAAACAUAGAUGGCAAAAGGUCCAGCAAGCAGAAGAGAGCAGACAAAAUCAAGGGGAAAUGCAGCAUCAUGUAGUGAAAACAAGUCCUGAUUUAUCCAUUUCAUGCUCGACCAUAGAAAGGUUUUGUUUCUUUUUAAAAAAAAUUGAAGAUUCCAUGUUACUCGCUGCAUUCUAUCACUGUGAGCGCAUAGGCAUACACUAAUCGCCUUGCACGUUCAUUGUGCAGCACUGUAUGGUUUGCUUUGUAUCUUUUUAUCAUUCUUAUUAAUUUUUUAUGAACAGCGAACAAAUCUGCCAUCCAAAAUAUAUUCUAGUUAUUUAUUUUUCAAUAUCUGUUCUUCUUCAUCCACGUUUGACUUUACAAAAAUGUCAUGUUCUGGAACUGCCCUGAAAACAAAUAAAUAAAAAUAAUCAAAUAGAUAAGUUUAUGCUAAUAUGCGGUGAUUAAAAGAAAUAUCAGAAAAAAUUGUCAAGCGGUUAGUGAAGAUGUUAUUUUGGGAUCACAAACCCCUGCAAGGAAAGGACAUCAAUAAAGAUAGCUCCUGUCUUGCUAUACUCAAAAGGACUUUAAUAAAGGAACUAGCUGGAAUAUUGAAAGAGGCAUUACAAAAGCAAGAGGAAUGAAGUGAUAAGCAUGUAUGAUGGUGUUGUAGACACUAAAUAUUUGAGUAUAUAGACAUCAGCAAACAAACUGAUGAUAACAAGGAAGUGACCUAUGGACAUGGCCAGAUGUCUGCAUAGCAAGAACCCACAUAUGAAACUUACAGUAGUUACAAUUACAUGGAUGCAACAAGUCUUCUUAUGAGUUAGUUUUAACUCCUUGCCUAGCUUUGCCUUCUGCUUGAACAAUAUGAUGUCCAAAUGUGUGGCAAAUAUUUAAAGUGACCUACAGAUAUGGAGUGUCUAGAAAAUAUAACGUUCCAAGAUGUGGAACCUUUCUGGAUAAACAAUAUAUAACAGCUACACUCUGAAGCAGUGCUAGAAUAACACUUGGCAGAUUACAGUAUUGGCCCUGAAGUACAGCUACUCAAUAUUUUUUUUUUACCAGAAAAUGAGCACAAGUUAGGUUAAAAUGAACAGCAAGAGCCAAUAAUUCUCAAAUUGACAUUUUUAGCAAUGACGGGAAAAAAAAAGAUUUAGGUGAAAAUUGUUGCAACUUCUCAUUGGCAAUGCAUCAUACAACCCUUAUGUUAUAAUUGGGGCAAAUUCACUAAGAUUCGUAGUUGCACCAGCAUCCGAUUCGCCGCACUUCGCCAGGCGUAUUUUCGCCA
RNA transcript from Xenopus laevis (African clawed frog), 2225 nucleotides. It is a transcript of the gene named GTP-binding protein Di-Ras1, with no coding region annotated. The record is from RefSeq and is a predicted model, not a curated record. The transcript has 3 exons. Lineage: Eukaryota; Metazoa; Chordata; Amphibia; Anura; Pipidae.